This 441-nucleotide ribosomal RNA is filed under the name Veillonella parvula. RNAcentral describes it as "bacterial SSU rRNA". It matches the Rfam family "Bacterial small subunit ribosomal RNA", at positions 28 to 447 of the family's 1533-position model. The record is from RNAcentral. Lineage: Bacteria; Bacillati; Bacillota; Negativicutes; Veillonellales; Veillonellaceae.
GACGAACGCUGGCGGCGUGCUUAACACAUGCAAGUCGAACGAAGAGCGAUGGAAGCUUGCUUCUAUCAAUCUUAGUGGCGAACGGGUGAGUAACGCGUAAUCAACCUGCCCUUCAGAGGGGGACAACAGUUGGAAACGACUGCUAAUACCGCAUACGAUCUAAUCUCGGCAUCGAGGAUAGAUGAAAGGUGGCCUCUACAUGUAAGCUAUCACUGAAGGAGGGGAUUGCGUUGAUUAGCUAGUUGGAGGGGUAACGGCCCACCAAGGCGAUGAUCAGUAGCCGGUCUGAGAGGAUGAACGGCCACAUUGGGACUGAGACACGGCCCAGACUCCUACGGGAGGCAGCAGUGGGGAAUCUUCCGCAAUGGACGAAAGUCUGACGGAGCAACGCCGCGUGAGUGAUGACGGCCUUCGGGUUGUAAAGCUCUGUUAAUCGGGACG